Molecule: transfer-messenger RNA, 410 nt
Filed under: Candidatus Sungbacteria bacterium RIFCSPHIGHO2_02_FULL_49_12
Lineage: Bacteria; Candidatus Sungiibacteriota
Also listed under: 1 other name
Rfam family: transfer-messenger RNA
About the family: Bacterial tmRNA, also known as 10Sa RNA or SsrA, is named for its dual tRNA and mRNA-like properties. Its role is to liberate the mRNA from a stalled ribosome.
Source: RNAcentral
GGGGACGUAUUGAUUCGACAGAUCAUUCAAAAAGAAACAUUCGGAUCGAGGUGCCGGGCUCCUCGUAAAACUUCUGGCAACAAUACGUGCAAACGUAUUCAAUUCAAACGGUGCUUUUGCGCCCGCUAUGGCUUAAUCGCGUUUAACGCGACCUAAAUCAUAGUUGCUUCCCCGAAGAAGUUCCUUCGGGCAUCGGUUCCAUUGCGUCGCAUGGGUGGGUCGCCGGUGUGAUAUAGUGCGACUUGAGCUUGGAUUUUCCCGGGGACCAGGCUGACCAUUACCGGACAACAGCUACGAGGAUCUUGUCGGAUUCUCUACUUCGCUGGCUGUAAAACGAAUCCGACUAUGUCCGUAGUCAAUGUUUCUUGGCGACGAUCUGGACGCGGGUUCAUUGCCCGCCGUCUCCACCC